Molecule: ribosomal RNA, 370 nt
Filed under: uncultured bacterium
Lineage: Bacteria
Description: bacterial SSU rRNA
Rfam family: Bacterial small subunit ribosomal RNA
Source: RNAcentral
GGAGGGUGCAAGCGUUAAUCGGAAUUACUGGGCGUAAAGCGUGCGUAGGCGGUCACGUGUGUCGGAUGUGAAAGCCCCGGGCUCAACCUGGGAAUUGCAUUCGAAACUGCGUGACUCGAGUGUGGUAGAGGAAGAUGGAAUUCCACGUGUAGCGGUGAAAUGCGUAGAUAUGUGGAGGAACACCGAUGGCGAAGGCAGUCUUCUGGGCCAACACUGACGCUGAGGCACGACAGCGUGGGUAGCAAACAGGAUUAGAUACCCUGGUAGUCCACGCCGUAAACGAUGAGAACUAGACGUUGGUUGGUCUAACCGAUCAGUGUCGCAGUUAACGCGUUAAGUUCUCCGCCUGGGGAGUACGGCCGCAAGGUUG